Long non-coding RNA from Salvia miltiorrhiza (redroot sage), 1035 nucleotides. RefSeq lists it as uncharacterized. NCBI's taxonomy places the organism in Eukaryota, Viridiplantae, Streptophyta, Magnoliopsida, Lamiales, Lamiaceae. The record is from RefSeq and is a predicted model, not a curated record. The transcript has 2 exons.
UAAAGGCACCACAUACCUUCUCCUCUGAACUUCUCCUACAUAAACUGCUAUAUGCCCUUUAGGCACAUCUGUUUGGUUUCUGUUAGAAAGAAUGAAGCUUGUGGAAUUGUUUUAUAAACUUCUUCAGUAUACGUUUUCUUUAUCUUUUUAAAUUCCUGAUUUUGAGUAUUAGGCAUAAAGUUAGACUUAAAGAUCACCACUCUAAACAUAUUUCCUUUUGUCACGUUUCUAUCUACAUGUAUGUGGUUGUUGCUCCUGAACCAGUACCAAUUUUUGUUCUCUCCAGGUAUGACUGUUGUCACAGUAAUUAAAUGAUCUAACUAUGAUGUUGUUGGGAUGUUUUUGAUGUCUGAAGGAAGAUCAUUGGAGCAAGAUACUUCAACAAGUGAUAUAGUGCCGUUGUCGGGAACAAACUGUGCUUGAAGAGGGAGAGCCUCUCAGCUACAUUGUUGCCUCUACACAAGGCGUACCCCGUCAUCUCUGCUGCAUCGGCCAAAGCUGGCAACGCAUCAGCUGAUGAGGCCUUGCUCUGCAAAUCUGGCACCUUGAAUCCACGGAAGGCGAAGGGGAAGUUUUGGUGUGCCUACGAGGGGACAACGCGAGAGUUGACAAGGGCGAGCAAGCUGCCUUGGCUGGUGCAGUAGGGAUGGUUUUAGCUAACAAUGAGGCUUCUGGUAAUAAAAUUCUUGCUGAUCCUCGUGUUCUCCCUGCAUCACACAUCAACUUUUCCGAUGGCCUCGCCCUUUUCUCCUACAUCAACUCAACGAGGUUCGAAUCAUGAAUCAUGAAUCAUGGAUCCUAUUGAAAGCUUUUUCUGACAUGGAGAAGUUCUUGCUUUCUUUGACCUUUCGAAAGCUUCUCGGAACUAUUAUGACUUGUGGAUUUUGAAUGUAGGAUUCUCUAUGAAAAAUACUAUUAUGGUGUAGCUUUUUAGAUGUUCAUUAUGGUGUUGGGAGAUGUUGUAAAACAAUGGAUCUUAUUUUGUGGAUGAUGGAUUAUUAGUUGUUAUCAAUGUUUAAAUGAGCAUUUUUAGUA